AAAAGAGUUACAGUAAGCCACAGUUAAUUUAUUAUUGAAGAAAGAAGAAUUUUUAAAAUAAAUGUAGCGUGGUCUGAGUGUACAGUGUUUACAGAGUCUACAGUGUUGUACAGUCAUGUCCUAGGCCUUCACAUUCACUCACCACUCACUCACUUGCACACCCAGGGCAGCUUCCUGUCCUGCAAACCACAUUCAUGGUAAGUGCCCUGUCCAGGUGUACCACUUUUUAUCUUUUCUACCAUAUUUUUACUGUACAUUUUCCAUGUUUAGAUAAGUUUAGAUACAGAAAUACUUACUAUUGUGUUCCAAUUGUUUACAGUAUUUAGUAGAGUAACCUGCUGUACAGAUUUGUAGCCUAGGAGUAAUAGGCUAUACCAUAUACUAGGUGUGUAGUAGGCUACACCAUCUAGGUUUGUGUAAGUACACUCUAUGUGGUUUGCACAAUGACAAAAUUGUCUGAGGACAUAGUUCCAUCAGGUUUAACCUCACAACCUUGCACAUUUCUGUAGUUAUUCCAGAUAUGAAGUUCUGUUAAGUUAGUCUCCUAGCAAGCUGUCCAUUAAUUCUGAAUUCAGACCAAAGCUUAGUUCUUUAGCUCUUCACAAUAAAUCUUGCUGCUGCUCACUCUUUGGGUCUGCACUACCUUUACGAGCUGUAAAUUAAAUAACACAACUGAUACAAUUUUUAAUCUUCAAAUGUUCCAAUCAUGUUUUUUCUUUCCUGCCACGGCUAGCGAAUAAUCUUUGUAGUUUUCUAUUACCUUAUUUUACUUGCUAACUCCUGAAUUCUUUAAGCCAAAAGCCCUGAAUUUGAUGGUUUUGAAGAUCCCUUUGAAAUCGAAAUUCUAGAAUCAUAUGCCAUAGAUAGAGCACCAUAAACGUGCUGAGAACACUUACUUUAGUCUACAACUGGGAAAAAUCAUCUAACACAAAGCUAUUUUAUAAAAAAGUGUUGAAUAUCUCAUGUAAUUUAUUGAAAACUGUACUGAAAGUGAAAAACAGAAUGGUUGUUUGGGUACUCAAAAUACAAUUUCUAUUGAAUAUGGAUCAUUUUUGCACCAUCUUAAAGUCAACAACGAUUAACUUGAGGACCAUCUGUAUGGAUUAAGAUAUACAUAACCUUGGUUUAGAAUCAUUUUCAUGCUCUACUACUCUACUCCUACUUUUUGUUUUCUCUGAGUGGGUAUUAUUCCAGACCAUGUCAUAGACCUGCUCAGCUCAGUGUUUCCCCCUUUCAUGGAUUACACUCAAUUAUAGCAAAAAUUUGUUCCCACAUUUGUAAAAAGUACAGCUUUUUGAUUAAUUCCCAGGUAAAUAAAAAUUGCAAAAUACAUGCAAAAGAAAAACAGGAAUUGAAAACAGUACCUGGAAAAAUUCUAAGUUACCUGCAAUCGCUAUCUACAGAUAAAAAUAUGAUAAUAAAUUUUAUUUUUUUGUAUUAACUUCUCUGAAAUGAGUGAGUAUUAAUCUUAGAAAACAUAAUCACAAUCUUCUAUGAUAAAAAUUUCUUUCAGCUCUGAGUCUAUAAAUAUCAACUAAAUGCAUGGAAGUACUGUAAUUUCUAGAAGGGGCUCACAAAUGUUGAUCCUAUUCAGGAACUUUUGGGUCUUCCCAAGUUCUAGCGGGAAAUAUUUAGCUGUUGUUACUGUGCCUAGAACUAGUUGAGGAUAGUCUGAAACUCAGGCAUUUGACUGCAAGAAACUUCUAGCAGCUCUUUCCACAAAGACAUUUUAUCAUUGGCUUUGGAAUUAAUUGUUAUAGUGUGAGGACCGUAGGGAUGCAAAUGUAAAGUCACUUUCACUUUCAGGGACUAACUAAAGUUCUGUUACCAAAGAACAAAAAGUUACCCAUUUUGCUUGUAACUGAAAUAAUAUAACCAUAUCCAAUAUAUUUAUUCAUUGUACAGGUAAUUAUUAGGCACCCAAUAUGUCUCAGGCAUCGUUUAGGCAGUUGAGAUACGUCAGUUAAAGAGAAAGAAAAUGCAUAAGAAACCCUUUAUUGAAGGCUACACAAUCCAAACAUGUUGAGGGUUAAAUGUUACUUUGUACAAUCUUUCCUCACACUGUCUACCUGCUAUAUUUCACUAAAGAACAAUGAGAAUUUCUUGCUUUUCUAGUUUCAUGUUUUGGGAAUAGCUCAAUUUUUCAGCAAUGCAGAAGUCA
Molecule: long non-coding RNA, 2161 nt
Filed under: Homo sapiens (human)
Lineage: Eukaryota; Metazoa; Chordata; Mammalia; Primates; Hominidae
Description: non-protein coding lnc-NEIL3-8:1
Source: RNAcentral